RNAcentral lists this ribosomal RNA (1008 nucleotides) under Sporidesmina aquatica. Its description in RNAcentral is "SSU rRNA". It matches the Rfam family "Eukaryotic small subunit ribosomal RNA", at positions 87 to 1105 of the family's 1831-position model. Lineage: Eukaryota; Fungi; Ascomycota; Sordariomycetes; Xylariales. The record is from RNAcentral.
CUGCGAAUGGCUCAUUAAAUCAGUUAUCGUUUAUUUGAUAGUACCUUACUACUUGGAUAACCGUGGUAAUUCUAGAGCUAAUACAUGCUAAAAACCCCGACUUCGGAAGGGGUGUAUUUAUUAGAUUAAAAACCAAUGCCCUUCGGGGCUCUCUGGUGAUUCAUAAUAACUUUACGAAUCGCAUGGCCUUGCGCCGGCGAUGGUUCAUUCAAAUUUCUGCCCUAUCAACUUUCGAUGGCAGGGUCUUGGCCUGCCAUGGUUACAACGGGUAACGGAGGGUUAGGGCUCGACCCCGGAGAAGGAGCCUGAGAAACGGCUACUACAUCCAAGGAAGGCAGCAGGCGCGCAAAUUACCCAAUCCCGAUUCGGGGAGGUAGUGACAAUAAAUACUGAUACAGGGCUCUUUUGGGUCUUGUAAUUGGAAUGAGUACAAUUUAAAUCCCUUAACGAGGAACAAUUGGAGGGCAAGUCUGGUGCCAGCAGCCGCGGUAAUUCCAGCUCCAAUAGCGUAUAUUAAAGUUGUUGCAGUUAAAAAGCUCGUAGUUGAAACUUGGGCCUGGCUGGCCGGUCCGCCUCACCGCGUGCACUGGUUCGGCCGGGCCUUUCCCUCUGGGGAGCCUCAUGCCCUUCACUGGGUGUGUUGGGGAACCAGGACUUUUACUGUGAAAAAAUUAGAGUGUUCAAAGCAGGCCUAUGCUCGAAUACAUUAGCAUGGAAUAAUAGAAUAGGACGUGUGGUUCUAUUUUGUUGGUUUCUAGGACCGCCGUAAUGAUUAAUAGGGACAGUCGGGGGCAUCAGUAUUCAAUUGUCAGAGGUGAAAUUCUUGGAUUUAUUGAAGACUAACUACUGCGAAAGCAUUUGCCAAGGAUGUUUUCAUUAAUCAGGAACGAAAGUUAGGGGAUCGAAGACGAUCAGAUACCGUCGUAGUCUUAACCAUAAACUAUGCCGACUAGGGAUCGGACGAUGUUAUUUUUUGACUCGUUCGGCACCUUACGAGAAAUCAAAGUC